RNAcentral lists this ribosomal RNA (484 nucleotides) under uncultured bacterium. Its description in RNAcentral is "partial 16S ribosomal RNA". It matches the Rfam family "Bacterial small subunit ribosomal RNA", at positions 30 to 507 of the family's 1533-position model. The record is from RNAcentral.
AUUGAACGCUGGCGGCAGGCCUAACACAUGCAAGUCGAGCGGAUGAAGGGAGCUUGCUCCUGGAUUCAGCGGCGGACGGGUGAGUAAUGCCUAGGAAUCUGCCUGGUAGUGGGGGAUAACGUCCGGAAACGGGCGCUAAUACCGCAUACGUCCUGAGGGAGAAAGUGGGGGAUCUUCGGACCUCACGCUAUCAGAUGAGCCUAGGUCGGAUUAGCUAGUUGGUGGGGUAAAGGCCUACCAAGGCGACGAUCCGUAACUGGUCUGAGAGGAUGAUCAGUCACACUGGAACUGAGACACGGUCGCGACUCCUACGGGAGGCAGCAGUGGGGAAUAUUGGACAAUGGGCGAAAGCCUGAUCCAGCCAUGCCGCGUGUGUGAAGAAGGUCUUCGGAUUGUAAAGCACUUUAAGUUGGGAGGAAGGGCAGUAAGUUAAUACCUUGCUGUUUUGACGUUACCAACAGAAUAAGCACCGGCUAACUUCGUG